RNAcentral lists this ribosomal RNA (468 nucleotides) under uncultured bacterium. RNAcentral describes it as "partial 16S ribosomal RNA". It matches the Rfam family "Bacterial small subunit ribosomal RNA", at positions 28 to 507 of the family's 1533-position model. The record is from RNAcentral.
GACGAACGCUGGCGGCGGGCUUAACACAUGCAAGUCGAACGGAAAGGCCCUGCUUUUGUGGGGUGCUCGAGUGGCGAACGGGUGAGUAACACGUGAGUAACCUGCCCUUGACUUUGGGAUAACUUCAGGAAACUGGGGCUAAUACCAGAUAGGAGCUCCUGCUGCAUGGUGGGGGUUGGAAAGUUUCGGCGGUUGGGGAUGGACUCGCGGCUUAUCAGCUUGUUGGUGGGGUAGUGGCUUACCAAGGCUUUGACGGGUAGCCGGCCUGAGAGGGUGACCGGCCACAUUGGGACUGAGAUACGGCCCAGACUCCUACGGGAGGCAGCAGUGGGGAAUAUUGCACAAUGGGCGGAAGCCUGAUGCAGCAACGCCGCGUGCGGGAUGACGGCCUUCGGGUUGUAAACCGCUUUCGCCUGUGACGAAGCGUGAGUGACGGUAAUGGGUAAAGAAGCACCGGCUAACUACGUG